This 526-nucleotide ribosomal RNA is filed under the name uncultured bacterium. RNAcentral describes it as "bacterial SSU rRNA". It matches the Rfam family "Bacterial small subunit ribosomal RNA", at positions 984 to 1509 of the family's 1533-position model. The record is from RNAcentral.
ACAUCCAGCGAACUUGGCAGAGAUGCCUUGGUGCCUUCGGGAACGCUGAGACAGGUGCUGCAUGGCUGUCGUCAGCUCGUGUUGUGAAAUGUUGGGUUAAGUCCCGNAACGAGCGCAACCCUUUAUCCUUUGUUGCCAGCGAUUCGGUCGGGAACUCAAAGGAGACUGCCGGUGAUAAACCGGAGGAAGGUGGGGAUGACGUCAAGUCAUCAUGGCCCUUACGAGUAGGGCUACACACGUGCUACAAUGGCGCAUACAAAGAGAAGCGACCUCGCGAGAGCAAGCGGACCUCAUAAAGUGCGCCGUAGUCCGGAUCGGAGUCUGCAACUCGACUCCGUGAAGUCGGAAUCGCUAGUAAUCGUGGAUCAGAAUGCCACGGUGAAUACGUUCCCGGGCCUUGUACACACCGCCCGUCACACCAUGGGAGUGGGUUGCAAAAGAAGUAGGUAGCUUAACCUUCGGGAGGGCGCUUACCACUUUGUGAUUCAUGACUGGGGUGAAGUCGUAACAAGGUAAGCGUAGCGAG